This 484-nucleotide ribosomal RNA is filed under the name uncultured bacterium. RNAcentral describes it as "partial 16S ribosomal RNA". It matches the Rfam family "Bacterial small subunit ribosomal RNA", at positions 30 to 507 of the family's 1533-position model. The record is from RNAcentral.
AUUGAACGCCGGCGGCAGGCCUAACACAUGCAAGUCGAGCGGAUGAAGGGAGCUUGCUCCUGGAUUCAGCGGCGGACGGGUGAGUAAUGCCUAGGAAUCUGCCUGGUAGUGGGGGAUAACGUCCGGAAACGGGCGCUAAUACCGCAUACGUCCUGAGGGAGAAAGUGGGGGAUCUUCGGACCUCACGCUAUCAGAUGAGCCUAGGUCGGAUUAGCUAGUUGGUGGGGUAAAGGCCUACCAAGGCGACGAUCCGUAACUGGUCUGAGAGGAUGAUCAGUCACACUGGAACUGAGACACGGUCCAGACUCCUACGGGAGGCAGCAGUGGGGAAUAUUGGACAAUGGGCGAAAGCCUGAUCCAGCCAUGCCGCGUGUGUGAAGAAGGUCUUCGGAAUGUAAAGCACUUUAAGUUGGGAGGAAGGGCAGUAAGUUAAUACCUUGCUGUUUUGACGUUACCAACAGAAUAAGCACCGGCUAACUUCGUG